GGAUUUGCAGCAAGAACUUUAUCCACUAAUGCUUCGAUUGUGGCAGGAUCUACUAUCUGUAGUUCUCAAAUAAGAAAGAAGCUCCAGAUGAUCAAUGGGAUGUAAUUGCACAUGAGGAGAAAGAAGAAAAUGCUUACAAAAUUGCAGAAUAAUUCCUGAUCACAACUACAAUUAGAACUGUGGGUGGGCAACCUCCUCCGUAUUUCUUUUUUUCUUUUUUAAAAAAAACACUCUAGUUAGAACUUGCGCAUGUAUUACUUUAACUUCUCACAUGGAAAUAUUUCCCAAGCAUAUCAUCUUUUUAACCUCAAAGCAAUUACCAAAGAUCAAAAGAACUAGCAUCAGUAAAGGAAGUAAAGUUUUCCGCCUCCCUUACAUAGUUUCUAUAAGUUUCAGCAAGUGUUAGACACCCUAAUACGGUACACAAAUUUCAACACCUUUAAAAGGUUCACACAUUCCGUCACUUCAAAAUUGGAGUAGUAAAAAGCCUUAACCUUUUUCCACCAUGCUAAUACCGAGGAUAACUAAAACCAUAAUGUGAAGCAGUGAAUCUUCUACAAAAAGAAAGGAAAAAACAAGAGAAAAGAGAAAAGAAGACAAUGAUGAAGAGAUUUUGGUACUACUGGAAAGCCCAAAAUAUUACAACCAGCAUGCAAACAAAUGUCUAAGAAUUUUGCCA
This 679-nucleotide long non-coding RNA is filed under the name Phoenix dactylifera (date palm). RNAcentral's name for it is "long non-coding RNA (PDAC_LNC019399)". The record is from RNAcentral. Lineage: Eukaryota; Viridiplantae; Streptophyta; Magnoliopsida; Arecales; Arecaceae.